GAUGAACGCUGGAUGUGUGCCUAAUACAUGCAUGUCGAACGAAGCACUUGUGCUUAGUGGCGAAUGGGUGAGUAACACGUACUUAAUCUGCCCUCAAGUUUGGGACAACAGUUGGAAACGACUGCUAAUACUCUAUAUGCCUUUAAGACAAAAGUCUGCAAGGGAAAUAUUUAUAGCUCUAGGAUCGGCCUGUACGGUAUCAGCUAGUUGGUGAGGUAAUGGCUCACCAAGGCAAUGACGCCUAACUGGUUUGAGAGGAUGAUCAGUCACACUGGAACUGAGACACGGUCCAG
Molecule: ribosomal RNA, 293 nt
Filed under: uncultured bacterium
Lineage: Bacteria
Description: partial 16S ribosomal RNA
Rfam family: Bacterial small subunit ribosomal RNA
Source: RNAcentral